AGAUUCACUCAAUUAGAACACCCAGUUUGAGACAUAAUGGGUUUUGGCGAGCUCCAUAGACUGAUAGGUUUUUAUACACAUGCACAGAAAGAUUUGAUUUCCUCUGCGGAAUUUAUGGCAGGGGAGAAGAGGGCAAAAUUCAGCUGCAGCGUGGAAAUCGUAAGGCAGAAAGAGGCUGAAAUCCAGAAGGGUGCUGGUAAGAUUGACCAUGGUAAUGAAGAGGAUCAGCGCAGUUUACCGUGUUUGGUGUUCUUACUCCACUCCCGUCUCCUUUCCGAUGCCAAAGCUCUUCUAUCCAUCCUUGACUUUUUAACCAAGGACUUCCCUCAUUAAACUGAAGAGACAAAGGAGACUCCUGAGGGAUUUAGAAAUUCAAUGGAAAAAGCAAAAAAAAAAAAAA
Molecule: long non-coding RNA, 400 nt
Filed under: Pan troglodytes (chimpanzee)
Lineage: Eukaryota; Metazoa; Chordata; Mammalia; Primates; Hominidae
Description: lincRNA
Source: RNAcentral